RNAcentral lists this long non-coding RNA (203 nucleotides) under Elaeis guineensis (African oil palm). RNAcentral's name for it is "long non-coding RNA (EGUI_LNC014519)". The record is from RNAcentral. Lineage: Eukaryota; Viridiplantae; Streptophyta; Magnoliopsida; Arecales; Arecaceae.
CUAAUUCUUAGUCUAUAAAAAAGGGGACCCCUCUCUUGGACGUUCCAUGAUCAAUUUUUUUGUAGUUUUUUUAUUUUCAAAACUUUUUCUCCUCCUCUCUUCUUCCUCCAGAUGUCCUAUUACUUUGGAGUAUCCAAGGUACUUGUAGAAGAAGAAAGAUGUCAGCUGUCGAAGUUAUUCGCAGACUAGCAUCUUCAAGCCCC